AGCACCACAACGGGUGGAGCUUGCGGUUUAAUUGGAUUCAACGCCGAAAUCUUACCGGGACGACAGCGAUAUGAAGGCCAGGCUGAAGACUUUGCCGGAUUAGCUGAGAGGUGGUGCAUGGCCGUCGUCAGUUCGUACUGUGAAGCAUCCUGUUAAGUCAGGCAACGAGCGAGACCCACGCCCACAGUUGCCAGCGUACUCUCCGGAGUGACGGGUACACUGUGGGGACCGCCGCUGCUAAAGCGGAGGAAGGAAUGGGCAACGGUAGGUCAGUAUGCCCCGAAUAUCCCGGGCUACACGCGAGCUACAAUGGUUGGUACAAUGGGUAUCUACCCCGAAAGGGGAUGGAAAUCUCCUAAAGCCAAUCUUAGUCCGGAUUGAGGGCUGCAACUCGCCCUCAUGAAGCUGGAAUCCGUAGUAAUCGCGUUUCAACAGAACGCGGUGAAUACGUCCCUGCUCCUU
RNAcentral lists this ribosomal RNA (462 nucleotides) under uncultured Methanosaeta sp. RNAcentral's name for it is "bacterial SSU rRNA". It matches the Rfam family "Archaeal small subunit ribosomal RNA", at positions 875 to 1338 of the family's 1478-position model. The record is from RNAcentral. Lineage: Archaea; Methanobacteriati; Methanobacteriota; Methanomicrobia; Methanotrichales; Methanotrichaceae.